CCUACGGGAGGCAGCAGUGAGGAAUAUUGCGCAAUGCCCGAAAGGGUGACGCAGCGACGCCGCGUGGAGGAUGAAGGCCCUCUGGGUCGUAAACUCCUUUGGUAGGGGAAUAACAGGUCGCUACAGGCGGCCGUGAAUGUACCCUAAGAACAAGCAUCGGCUAACUACGUGCCAGCAGCCGCGGUAAU
RNAcentral lists this ribosomal RNA (188 nucleotides) under uncultured bacterium. Its description in RNAcentral is "partial 16S ribosomal RNA". It matches the Rfam family "Bacterial small subunit ribosomal RNA", at positions 338 to 524 of the family's 1533-position model. The record is from RNAcentral.